GACGAACGCUGGCGGCGUGCUUAACACAUGCAAGUCGAGCGGUAAGGCCCUUUCGGGGGUACACGAGCGGCGAACGGGUGAGUAACACGUGGGUGACCUGCCCUUAGCUCUGGGAUAAGCCUGGGAAACUGGGUCUAAUACCGGAUAUGACUCCAUGACGCAUGUUGUGGGGUGGAAAGCCUUGUGCGGCUAGGGAUGGGCCCGCGGCCUAUCAGCUUGUUGGUGGGGUGAUGGCCUACCAAGGCGACGACGGGUAGCCGGCCUGAGAGGGCGACCGGCCACACUGGGACUGAGUCACGGCCCAGACUCCUACGGGAGGCAGCAGUGGGGAAUCUUGCGCAAUGGGCGAAAGCCUGACGCAGCGACGCCGCGUGGGGAUGACGGCCUCGG
This 390-nucleotide ribosomal RNA is filed under the name uncultured bacterium. Its description in RNAcentral is "bacterial SSU rRNA". It matches the Rfam family "Bacterial small subunit ribosomal RNA", at positions 28 to 420 of the family's 1533-position model. The record is from RNAcentral.